RNAcentral lists this ribosomal RNA (404 nucleotides) under Actinomycetes bacterium. Its description in RNAcentral is "Actinobacteria bacterium partial 16S ribosomal RNA". It matches the Rfam family "Bacterial small subunit ribosomal RNA", at positions 355 to 776 of the family's 1533-position model. The record is from RNAcentral. Lineage: Bacteria; Bacillati; Actinomycetota; Actinomycetes.
UGGGGAAUAUUGGACAAUGGGCGCAAGCCUGAUCCAGCCAUGCCGCGUGAGUGAUGAAGGCCUUAGGGUUGUAAAGCUCUUUUGUCCGGGAAGAUAAUGACUGUACCGGAAGAAUAAGCCCCGGCUAACUUCGUGCCAGCAGCCGCGGUAAUACGAAGGGGGCUAGCGUUGCUCGGAAUCACUGGGCGUAAAGGGCGCGUAGGCGGACUCUUAAGUCGGGGGUGAAAGCCCAGGGCUCAACCCUGGAAUUGCCUUCGAUACUGAGAGUCUUGAGUUCGGAAGAGGUUGGUGGAACUGCGAGUGUAGAGGUGAAAUUCGUAGAUAUUCGCAAGAACACCAGUGGCGAAGGCGGCCAACUGGUCCGAUACUGACGCUGAGGCGCGAAAGCGUGGGGAUCAAACAGG